This 301-nucleotide ribosomal RNA is filed under the name uncultured bacterium. RNAcentral's name for it is "partial 16S ribosomal RNA". It matches the Rfam family "Bacterial small subunit ribosomal RNA", at positions 509 to 809 of the family's 1533-position model. The record is from RNAcentral.
CAGCAGCCACGGUAAUACGUAGGUGGCAAGCGUUGUCCGGAAUUAUUGGGCGUAAAACGCGCGCAGGCGGAUCAGUUAGUCUGUCUUAAAAGUUCGGGGCUUAACCCCGCGAGGGGAUGGAAACUGCUGAUCUAGAGUAUCGGAGAGGAAAGUGGAAUUCCUAGUGUAGCGGUGAAAUGCGUAGAUAUUAGGAAGAACACCAGUGGCGAAGGCGACUUUCUGGACGAAAACUGACGCUGAGGCGUGAAAGCCAGGGGAGCGAACGGGAUUAGAUACCCGUGUAGUCCCUGUCUCUAUACAC